CUGUGGCUCAGAUGAGAGAGCGUCAGACUGAAGAUCUGAACGUCGCGUGUUCGAUCCACGUUAG
RNAcentral lists this transfer RNA (64 nucleotides) under Macleaya cordata. It matches the Rfam family "tRNA", at positions 5 to 66 of the family's 71-position model. Rfam says of the family: Transfer RNA (tRNA) molecules are approximately 80 nucleotides in length. Their secondary structure includes four short double-helical elements and three loops (D, anti-codon, and T loops). The record is from Rfam by way of RNAcentral. Lineage: Eukaryota; Viridiplantae; Streptophyta; Magnoliopsida; Ranunculales; Papaveraceae.